AUGACCCCUGCGGAUUUGACCCUAGCUACACCCGGAGCCAAUCCCCUAGCGGUCUUGCCACCACGCCGCAGAACAGAAGCUCGUGUGGAACCUUGGAUUUCUGGCGUAAUAGCGGUGGAAGGUAUCAAAAUAUUACGGCCGCAUAACAUAGUAUAUACGCUAAGGUCGGCCAAAAUAUGGACACCCGAAGGGCCCGACACGCACAAUCCUAUCCUAUCCGAGCCCGUCAUUGCAGGCACUUUGGCAGCCGUCCGUAGCAUCAUAAGGAGCACCUCCCUUUCGAGGUACCCAAAUGGAACGGUCUUUAUUUGUGUUGUUGGUUGGUCUUUCUCAACGUGGUCUGUAGCACGAAAAACCAUUCUUUACAAGAUAGGGCCGUUCACAUGA
This 387-nucleotide ribosomal RNA is filed under the name Triticum aestivum (bread wheat). RNAcentral's name for it is "partial small subunit ribosomal RNA". Lineage: Eukaryota; Viridiplantae; Streptophyta; Magnoliopsida; Poales; Poaceae. The record is from RNAcentral.